UUCUGGUGAAAGAAUUCAGAACUUAUAUAGAAUAUAUAAGCAACCAUCAGAAGAAGAGAAUGAAAUGAAGGAUGAAGAAUUUGUUCCAGAAAGUAGUCCAUCAUCGGUGACGAUGUCGGACAGUUUAAGUUUGGGAACGGCGACGUAUCUCGGUUCUAUGAUAUUAAAAGAUAGGUGAUAAUUAAAAGGCAAUUAAAAGAAAAUUAUUUAUUGAAGACAUUCAAAAUUUGUAUUUUGUUAAAUUUGUAAUAAGUUAUAUUUACAAAUUUAUAACAUUGAAAAUAAAAGUUUUUCUCAUCCGUUCUCCUUUAUCUGGCAUUAUUCAGUUAAGAUUUACUUUUAAUUAGCAAUUUAUUAAAUAAUUUAAAACUCGAGUACCAAAAGUGCAAAAUUAUAAUUGAAACUAUUUUUGUCCUUUAUACAGGCUCUGAACACAUUCAUU
Molecule: long non-coding RNA, 442 nt
Organism: Centruroides sculpturatus (bark scorpion)
Lineage: Eukaryota; Metazoa; Arthropoda; Arachnida; Scorpiones; Buthidae
Exons: 3
Source: RefSeq, a predicted model, not a curated record